AAAUUGAAGAGUUUGAUCAUGGCUCAGAUUGAACGCUGGCGGCAGGCCUAACACAUGCAAGUCGAACGGUAACAGGAAGCAGCUUGCUGCUUUGCUGACGAGUGGCGGACGGGUGAGUAAUGUCUGGGAAACUGCCUGAUGGAGGGGGAUAACUACUGGAAACGGUGGCUAAUACCGCAUAACGUCGCAAGACCAAAGAGGGGGACCUUCGGGCCUCUUGCCAUCAGAUGUGCCCAGAUGGGAUUAGCUUGUUGGUGAGGUAACGGCUCACCAAGGCGACGAUCCCUAGCUGGUCUGAGAGGAUGACUAGCCACACUGGAACUGAGACACGGUCCAGACUCCUACGGGAGGCAGCAGUGGGGAAUAUUGCACAAUGGGCGCAAGCCUGAUGCAGCCAUGCCGCGUGUAUGAAGAAGGCCUUCGGGUUGUAA
This 431-nucleotide ribosomal RNA is filed under the name Salmonella enterica subsp. enterica serovar Kentucky. RNAcentral describes it as "bacterial SSU rRNA". It matches the Rfam family "Bacterial small subunit ribosomal RNA", at positions 1 to 428 of the family's 1533-position model. The record is from RNAcentral. Lineage: Bacteria; Pseudomonadati; Pseudomonadota; Gammaproteobacteria; Enterobacterales; Enterobacteriaceae.